UAGAAAUAUUGGCUUAAAACUGAUCUUUGAUGAGACACUCUGAAAGCAAUGCUUUAUUUGAUGCUAAAAGCACUUAUGUAUACCAUCUUCUAAAUUUUUAAAAUCACAUAAUUUAUAUAACACUAUGGAAUGGGUCAUCGUUUGAAUUAAAAUUUAUCAACCCUUCUUUUAACAGUUUUCAUUCUUGUUAAAAGUCGUAAAGGUCCGUUUAACAAGUAAACUUUCAUUUAACUUCCACACUACGAGUAGUUUCGAGCAAAUUGAUGUAUACUUUUUUUUGAUGUAUAUCACAUUGAAUACUUCACAGUGACAAUAUAAAUAUUUUCCACGCUCUGUUUGGUAAAGGGUGAACUUUUUCCAUUUUAAAACACAUUUUUCUCAUAUUUCCCAGUUCAUCUAAAACUUAUGUACCUAUUUGAAUGGUUAAUGAAGCAUGGCUGUGAUAAGAAUAUGUAUGUAGGCACAUGACAUUUAUAGAUGGAUUGCUGUGUACCUGAAGGUUAGCCAAGUAUGGGACUAUGAAAAAUGUCUCUCGUGACAUAGGAAUAAACUCCCCUGUUUCUCUCAAGUUGCAUCGGUUAUCUUUUAGAAAGACAAUAAUUAAUAUGUAAAUUACAGGGAAGGUUUGCAGCCUUUUUUAUAUUAAGCCCUAUUUUAUACUUUUUUAUCGUACCACUGUCUGAGGCAUUCAUAUGUAGACCCCAACUACAAAUGCUUAUCUUUAUACUUUAAUAUUCAUUCUUUCAUCAUUUCAUUCAUGGACAAGGCAAGAUUAAGUAGGCCCCAUACUUAGGCAAAACAAGCUUUGAUGUAUGUGUAUUCUCUAAUUACGGAUUAAUGAGCUGUAACUGCAUAUUUUACUUGCUACAUUUUCUCAUGUGAAUAAAUAUACUAUUAGUUGAUCACAUGUUAUUUUGUUUCCUAGCAUGAUGUAUUUGCAAGUAUAUUACAAGAGUGUUGCAAAUUAAUGUAAGAUUUAGGUUUUUUAUUAAACUAUUACAGUAUGUCUACUUUUUUCAGGGUAUCUUCAUGGCUGGUGUAGGCUCUGUGUGUAUAUGUGAGUGUGUGUGUGUGUAAAUGCCUGUGUUGUGUUUGUGAAAGAGAGUGUAGAUGCUGCAUGAUGACAAUGACAGCUGCCUGAUUGCAAACUUAGUAAUGUGUCAGUACAUCAAAGCAAGUGCUUACAAAGUUUCACAACCUCUUUUUAAUUUUUUAUUUGCCAGUCAUUGUGCUAACUUCUUACACUCACUGUGUUCAACUUUCUUGCAAAAUCAAAUUAAAAAUAUUUAAAUCUUGUGUGAAAAGUAUUUUGAAAGGCCUAAUAUGUCAAUUCUAUGAGUCUAUCAAUGCAUUACAAUAAAAAGUAACCACAGAAGCUGAAUACAAAAAUUAUUUUAAAUUACUCGACAGAAACAAUUGCAUGAUCUAUGAAUACAGUAACUCAGAAGGUAAGUAAACUGAGUAAAUUGGCUACAAACAGCCAGGUAACCCGGUACUGACAGCUACCUGCUGUAAAUAGAAUCAUGUAUGACCCCCAGGUGUGGGAAUGUGAACUCCUCCAUUGGGAAAACCCUGUAGAGGGAGGGUCAAGUCAGUCGACUGUCUGUCUGAUUGCUUCUCUACCAAUCUGUUUGAUUGUCAGUCUGUUCAAACUGUAAACCACCCAACACUACAACGCUGUGAAGGGCUCCUCUUUCAUGAGGAAGUGAGUACAUUUGUCGUCAAAGCUGACUUCCUGUUAAUUACUUAGUUAAUUAUGACCGGGACACACUGCGCACGACAUUUUCAAACUCUGUGAUUCACUUUGUGAGGACUGGCACCAAGCUGUGGAGACUAGCCUUCAAAGACGUUCUUGUGUUUUAGCGACAACGACUAGAGGCAACAUGGUGGCAACCAUGACGAGGAGUAGUCUGCCACAGAGUGUUUUAUUCAUCCACAUCUACAUCCUCUUGCUGUGCUCCUUUUGUUUUGUCGUCACAUUAACACAAGAGGGCAACAUCACGUGCUCUGUGCCGUCAGUGUAUCCGUACCAGGAAUACUAGUUCUG
Molecule: long non-coding RNA, 2047 nt
Organism: Pomacea canaliculata
Lineage: Eukaryota; Metazoa; Mollusca; Gastropoda; Architaenioglossa; Ampullariidae
Exons: 3
Source: RefSeq, a predicted model, not a curated record